UACGGAGGAUGCAAGCGUUAUCCGGAUUCAUUGGGUUUAAAGGGUGCGUAGGCGGCCAUUUAAGUCAGCGGUGAAAUUUUGCAGCUUAACUGUAACAGUGCCGUUGAUACUGGGGAGCUAGGAUUUGGUUGCUGUGGGUGGAAUGUGUGGUGUAGCGGUGAAAUGCUUAGAGAUCACACAGAAUAUCGAUUGCGAAGGCAGCCCACAAAGCCAAGAUUGACGCUGAGGCACGAAAGUGUGGGGAUCAAACAGGA
This 254-nucleotide ribosomal RNA is filed under the name uncultured prokaryote. Its description in RNAcentral is "partial 16S ribosomal RNA". It matches the Rfam family "Bacterial small subunit ribosomal RNA", at positions 524 to 777 of the family's 1533-position model. The record is from RNAcentral.